Molecule: ribosomal RNA, 492 nt
Filed under: uncultured bacterium
Lineage: Bacteria
Description: partial 16S ribosomal RNA
Rfam family: Bacterial small subunit ribosomal RNA
Source: RNAcentral
AGUGAACGCUGGCGGUAGGCCUAACACAUGCAAGUCGAACGGCAGCACAGUAAGAGCUUGCUCUUACGGGUGGCGAGUGGCGGACGGGUGAGGAAUACAUCGGAAUCUACUUUUUCGUGGGGGAUAACGUAGGGAAACUUACGCUAAUACCGCAUACGACCUACGGGUGAAAGCAGGGGAUCUUCGGACCUUGCGCGAUUGAAUGAGCCGAUGUCGGAUUAGCUAGUUGGCGGGGUAAAGGCCCACCAAGGCGGCGAUCCGUAGCUGGUCUGAGAGGAUGAUCAGCCGCACGGGAACUGAGACACGGUCCAGACUACUACGGGAGGCAGCAGUGGGGAAUAUUGGACAAUGGGCGCAAGCCUGAUCCAGCCAUACCGCGUGGGUGAAGAAGGCCUUCGGGUUGUAAAGCCCUUUUGUUGGGAAAGAAAAGCAGCAGGUUAAUACCCCGCUGUUCUGACGGUACCCAAAGAAUAAGCACCGGCUAACUUCGUG